UGUCCUGUAUUCAUGAAACUGACAGAAAUUGGAUUACAAUAAACCGGUCGGUUAUGUGACUGCCGUAACAGGGAGAUAUGGUAGAGGUAAUGGAGACUUUGGAUUCCCAGCACAACGGUUCACUGUAGAUCGAGGGUUUCCAGUAGAUUUUCUUCAAACAGGAGUGUUCGACGUUUUAAAGCAGUAACGAACGGCAGAUGACAACUAAGCGUGAAGGAACCAUGGAGGGAGAGACCAAGCCUAUUUUUUGAACUUUCCAAAUAGUGACUGUACUUUUGGCACUAACUGUGUGUUUGUGUUAUAGCUUGUGGUCACUUUUCUUUCUGAGUUGGAAGCUCUCUUUCUCAGAAAUAUACGCAUGUAUAAAAUGUACGCCUUAUUGACCUGCAAAUAUAAACAUUGUUAUCUGUCUGGAUCACGAAUUUAACCUAUGGUUGAUUAGAAAAUAGAGCCACAUUACUUUCA
Molecule: non-coding RNA, 465 nt
Organism: Chiloscyllium plagiosum (whitespotted bambooshark)
Lineage: Eukaryota; Metazoa; Chordata; Chondrichthyes; Orectolobiformes; Hemiscylliidae
Source: RefSeq, a predicted model, not a curated record